Molecule: ribosomal RNA, 1393 nt
Filed under: Salmonella enterica subsp. enterica serovar Hadar str. 2011K-0112
Lineage: Bacteria; Pseudomonadati; Pseudomonadota; Gammaproteobacteria; Enterobacterales; Enterobacteriaceae
Description: bacterial LSU rRNA
Rfam family: Bacterial large subunit ribosomal RNA
Source: RNAcentral
CUGAGGCGUGACGACGAGGCACUACGGUGCUGAAGCAACAAAUGCCCUGCUUCCAGGAAAAGCCUCUAAGCAUCAGGUAACAUCAAAUCGUACCCCAAACCGACACAGGUGGUCAGGUAGAGAAUACCAAGGCGCUUGAGAGAACUCGGGUGAAGGAACUAGGCAAAAUGGUGCCGUAACUUCGGGAGAAGGCACGCUGACACGUAGGUGAAGUGAUUUACUCAUGGAGCUGAAGUCAGUCGAAGAUACCAGCUGGCUGCAACUGUUUAUUAAAAACACAGCACUGUGCAAACACGAAAGUGGACGUAUACGGUGUGACGCCUGCCCGGUGCCGGAAGGUUAAUUGAUGGGGUCAGCGCAAGCGAAGCUCCUGAUCGAAGCCCCGGUAAACGGCGGCCGUAACUAUAACGGUCCUAAGGUAGCGAAAUUCCUUGUCGGGUAAGUUCCGACCUGCACGAAUGGCGUAAUGAUGGCCAGGCUGUCUCCACCCGAGACUCAGUGAAAUUGAACUCGCUGUGAAGAUGCAGUGUACCCGCGGCAAGACGGAAAGACCCCGUGAACCUUUACUAUAGCUUGACACUGAACAUUGAGCCUUGAUGUGUAGGAUAGGUGGGAGGCUUUGAAGUGUGGACGCCAGUCUGCAUGGAGCCGACCUUGAAAUACCACCCUUUAAUGUUUGAUGUUCUAACGUGGACCCGUUACCCGGGUUGCGGACAGUGUCUGGUGGGUAGUUUGACUGGGGCGGUCUCCUCCUAAAGAGUAACGGAGGAGCACGAAGGUUGGCUAAUCCUGGUCGGACAUCAGGAGGUUAGUGCAAUGGCAUAAGCCAGCUUGACUGCGAGCGUGACGGCGCGAGCAGGUGCGAAAGCAGGUCAUAGUGAUCCGGUGGUUCUGAAUGGAAGGGCCAUCGCUCAACGGAUAAAAGGUACUCCGGGGAUAACAGGCUGAUACCGCCCAAGAGUUCAUAUCGACGGCGGUGUUUGGCACCUCGAUGUCGGCUCAUCACAUCCUGGGGCUGAAGUAGGUCCCAAGGGUAUGGCUGUUCGCCAUUUAAAGUGGUACGCGAGCUGGGUUUAGAACGUCGUGAGACAGUUCGGUCCCUAUCUGCCGUGGGCGCUGGAGAACUGAGGGGGGCUGCUCCUAGUACGAGAGGACCGGAGUGGACGCAUCACUGGUGUUCGGGUUGUCAUGCCAAUGGCACUGCCCGGUAGCUAAAUGCGGAAGAGAUAAGUGCUGAAAGCAUCUAAGCACGAAACUUGCCCCGAGAUGAGUUCUCCCUGAGACUUUAGGUCUCCUGAAGGAACGUUGAAGACGACGACGUUGAUAGGCCGGGUGUGUAAGCGCAGCGAUGCGUUGAGCUAACCGGUACUAAUGAACCGUGAGGCUUAACCUU